Molecule: ribosomal RNA, 860 nt
Filed under: uncultured bacterium
Lineage: Bacteria
Description: SSU rRNA
Rfam family: Bacterial small subunit ribosomal RNA
Source: RNAcentral
UACGUAGGGUGCAAGCGUUAAUCGGAAUUACUGGGCGUAAAGAGCAUGUAGGCGGAUUAAUAAGUUGGAAGUGAAAUCCUAUAGCUUAACUAUAGAACUGCUUCCAAAACUGUUGAUCUAGAAUAUGGGAGAGGUAGAUGGAAUUUCUGGUGUAGGGGUAAAAUCCGUAGAGAUCAGAAGGAAUACCGAUUGCGAAGGCGAUCUACUGGAACAUUAUUGACGCUCAGAUGCGAAAGCGUGGGGAGCAAACAGGAUUAGAUACCCUGGUAGUCCACGCCCUAAACGAUGUACACUAGUUGUUGCUAUACUAGAUAUGGCAGUAAUGCAGUUAACACAUUAAGUGUACCGCCUGGGGAGUACGGUCGCAAGAUUAAAACUCAAAGGAAUAGACGGGGACCCGCACAAGCGGUGGAGCAUGUGGUUUAAUUCGACGAUACGCGAAAAACCUUACCUGGCCUUGACAUAGUAAGAACUUUCUAGAGAUAGAUUGGUGCUAGCUUGCUAGAGCUUACAUACAGGUGCUGCACGGCUGUCGUCAGCUCGUGUCGUGAGAUGUUGGGUUAAGUCCCGCAACGAGCGCAACCCACGUGAUUAGUUGCUAACGGUUCGGCCGAGAACUCUAAUCAGACUGCCUUCGUAAGGAGGAGGAAGGUGUGGACGACGUCAAGUCAUCAUGGCCCUUACGGCCAGGGCUACACACGUGCUACAAUGGGAUAUACAAAGAGCAGCAAUACCGCGAGGUGGAGCAAAUCUAGAAAAUAUCUCCCAGUUCGGAUUGUUCUCUGCAACUCGAGAACAUGAAGUUGGAAUCGCUAGUAAUCGUAGAUCAGCAUUGCUACGGUGAAUACGUUCCCGGGUCU